UACAGAGGGUGCGAGCGUUAAUCGGAAUUACUGGGCGUAAAGCGCGCGUAGACGGUUUUGUAAGUCAGAUGUGAAAUCCCAGGGCUCAACCUGGGAACUGCAUUUGAGACUGCAUGGCUAGAGUAUCGAAGAGGGAAGUGGAAUUUCCGGUGUAGCGGUGAAAUGCGUAGAUAUUCGGAAGAACACCAGUGGCGAAGGCGGCUCACUGGCCCGGUACUGACGCUGAGGUGCGAAAGCGUGGGGAGCAAACAGG
RNAcentral lists this ribosomal RNA (253 nucleotides) under uncultured bacterium. RNAcentral describes it as "partial 16S ribosomal RNA". It matches the Rfam family "Bacterial small subunit ribosomal RNA", at positions 524 to 776 of the family's 1533-position model. The record is from RNAcentral.